Molecule: non-coding RNA, 25 nt
Filed under: Cricetulus griseus (Chinese hamster)
Lineage: Eukaryota; Metazoa; Chordata; Mammalia; Rodentia; Cricetidae
Source: RNAcentral
UCUGAUUCUGCACAAAUACUGAAGC